CAGGGCGGGAGCUAUACAUGCAGUCGAGCGGACAGAUGGGAGCUUGCUCCCUGAUGUUAGCGGCGGACGGGUGAGUAACACGUGGGUAACCUGCCUGUAAGACUGGGAUAACUCCGGGAAACCGGGGCUAAUACCGGAUGGUUGUUUGAACCGCAUGGUUCAAACAUAAAAGGUGGCUUCGGCUACCACUUACAGAUGGACCCGCGGCGCAUUAGCUAGUUGGUGAGGUAACGGCUCACCAAGGCAACGAUGCGUAGCCGACCUGAGAGGGUGAUCGGCCACACUGGGACUGAGACACGGCCCAGACUCCUACGGGAGGCAGCAGUAGGGAAUCUUCCGCAAUGGACGAAAGUCUGACGGAGCAACGCCGCGUGAGUGAUGAAGGUUUUCGGAUCGUAAAGCUCUGUUGUUAGGGAAGAACAAGUACCGUUCGAAUAGGGCGGUACCUUGACGGUACCUAACCAGAAAGCCACGGCUAACUACGUGCCAGCAGCCGCGGUAAUACGUAGGUGGCAAGCGUUGUCCGGAAUUAUUGGGCGUAAAGGGCUCGCAGGCGGUUUCUUAAGUCUGAUGUGAAAGCCCCCGGCUCAACCGGGGAGGGUCAUUGGAAACUGGGGAACUUGAGUGCAGAAGAGGAGAGUGGAAUUCCACGUGUAGCGGUGAAAUGCGUAGAGAUGUGGAGGAACACCAGUGGCGAAGGCGACUCUCUGGUCUGUAACUGACGCUGAGGAGCGAAAGCGUGGGGAGCGAACAGGAUUAGAUACCCUGGUAGUCCACGCCGUAAACGAUGAGUGCUAAGUGUUAGGGGGUUUCCGCCCCUUAGUGCUGCAGCUAACGCAUUAAGCACUCCGCCUGGGGAGUACGGUCGCAAGACUGAAACUCAAAGGAAUUGACGGGGGCCCGCACAAGCGGUGGAGCAUGUGGGUUUAAUUCGAAGCAACGCGAAGAACCCUUACCAGGUCUUGACAUCCUCUGACAUCCUAGAGAUAGGACGUCCCCUUCGGGGCAGAGUGACAGGUGGUGCAUGGUUGUCGUCAGCUCGUGUCGU
RNAcentral lists this ribosomal RNA (1048 nucleotides) under Bacillus velezensis. RNAcentral's name for it is "bacterial SSU rRNA". It matches the Rfam family "Bacterial small subunit ribosomal RNA", at positions 39 to 1068 of the family's 1533-position model. The record is from RNAcentral. Lineage: Bacteria; Bacillati; Bacillota; Bacilli; Caryophanales; Bacillaceae.